UACGUAGGAUCCAAGCGCUAUCCGGAAUUAUUGGGCGUAAAGAGCUCGUAGGCGGUCUGUCGCGUCUGCUGUGAAAACUCGGGGCUUAACCCCGGGCCUGCAGUGGGUACGGGCAGGCUAGAGUGCGGUAGGGGAGACUGGAAUUCCUGGUGUAGCGGUGAAAUGCGCAGAUAUCAGGAGGAACACCGGUGGCGAAGGCGGGUCUCUGGGCCGUAACUGACGCUGAGGAGCGAAAGCGUGGGGAGCGAACAGG
This 253-nucleotide ribosomal RNA is filed under the name uncultured bacterium. RNAcentral describes it as "partial 16S ribosomal RNA". It matches the Rfam family "Bacterial small subunit ribosomal RNA", at positions 524 to 776 of the family's 1533-position model. The record is from RNAcentral.